UGGGGAAUAUUGGACAAUGGGCGCAAGCCUGAUCCAGCCAUGCCGCGUGAGUGAUGAAGGCCCUAGGGUUGUAAAGCUCUUUCCCCGGUGAAGAUAAUGACGGUAACCGGAGAAGAAGCCCCGGCCAACUUCGGGCCAGCAGCCGCGGUAAUACGAAGGGGGCCAGCGUUGUUCGGAAUUACUGGGGGUAAAGCGCACGUAGGCGGACUAUUAAGUCAGGGGUGAAAUCCCGGGGCUCAACCCCGGAAGUGCCUUUGAUACUGGUAGUCUUGAGUUGGAGAGAGGUGAGUGGAAUUCCGAGUGUAGAGGUGAAAUUCGUAGAUAUUCGGAGGAACACCAGUGGCGAAGGCGGCUCACUGGCUCGAUACUGACGCUGAGGGGCGAAAGCGUGGGGAGCAAACAGG
This 404-nucleotide ribosomal RNA is filed under the name Actinomycetes bacterium. RNAcentral describes it as "Actinobacteria bacterium partial 16S ribosomal RNA". It matches the Rfam family "Bacterial small subunit ribosomal RNA", at positions 355 to 776 of the family's 1533-position model. The record is from RNAcentral. Lineage: Bacteria; Bacillati; Actinomycetota; Actinomycetes.